Long non-coding RNA from Selaginella moellendorffii, 805 nucleotides. RefSeq lists it as uncharacterized. Lineage: Eukaryota; Viridiplantae; Streptophyta; Lycopodiopsida; Selaginellales; Selaginellaceae. The record is from RefSeq and is a predicted model, not a curated record. The transcript is spliced from 3 exons.
UCGGCAUCACUGGUGCUGGAUCUGGCAUUGCUGUGUCUCUUCUGUUGGCACACACAGCAAAGAGAAAAAAAGCGGAGAGAAUAAGCGUCAUCAGCUCAAUUUCACUCGAUCGAACUGUCUUUUCCAGGGAGGGCGCUGGACCUUGCGAGGCGCGGUGGAAACAUCACAAUUGUAUGUAAGAAUGGGCUGUGAACCCUGAGCUUGGUAAGAGAGCCGACGAAUCCGAAUCCUACGUUUGCCAUCUUUGUUGAGUCUGAUGUCUGCGAUCCAGAGCAAGUCGCAAAGGCAUUCAAGGAGCACAAGGAGACGUUCUUGAGACUGGAUGUGUGCGUCAACUGUGCAGGGAUCGUCGAGGAGAGGGACUUCGUGAGCGAUGACAAAUGGUGUAAGGUCUUGAGGGUAGGGUGAACCUCAUGGCAGCCAUCAAAUGCACAAGCCAAGCAGUAAUUUCCGCUGAUACCUUUAAAACACUUGAACAGAUCCAAGCUAUGAGGUCCCAAGACAGUCCUGGAGUAGCCAUCUUGAAUCUCGCUUCGACUGGCGGACUCUUUCUUGUCCUUUUGUAUCCGAUCUACUCGGCAUCCAAGGGUGGACUGGGUUCACAAGGUCGCUUGUGGAACUACAGAGCGAAGGCAUAUGAGCAAACUUUCUGUAUCCCUGGGUUUGGAGUUCAUCCUUUUUUCUUUCUUUUGCAGGAUCAUAAGCGAACUAUUGCUGAUUCAGUACGUUGAAACGCCCAUGACUGCAAAGGAGAUGAUCGCUGCAACUAUACCAAUGAAAAAUCCAGUAUACAAAUUUCUUCUCA